RNAcentral lists this long non-coding RNA (316 nucleotides) under Gallus gallus (chicken). Its description in RNAcentral is "long non-coding RNA NONGGAT007936". Lineage: Eukaryota; Metazoa; Chordata; Aves; Galliformes; Phasianidae. The record is from RNAcentral.
GGAGAAGGCUCCAAAGAUCAAAAGGAGGCCAAGACGUUAACAGAUCUUCCUGAGAAUGAGAACGUGGCAGCAGGAGACUUGUUAGAGCCUUCUAGGGUGACAGCAUGGAGAGGAGAGGGACAUAUAUACUCUAUAAGAUUGUGUUGAGGGUUAAGGAAGUCAGAGGACCACUGCCAUGUAGAAGAACCCUGCCUAACUGACAUCCAGAACUCGGAGCGGCUCCAGCAGAAGAUGUGAUAGCCUUGACCUGCUUCUACCAGGCCUUGCCUUGUGUCCUGGCUUUAAGAGGUUGUGCACAACUGACACUGUCCACAGC